This 232-nucleotide ribosomal RNA is filed under the name uncultured bacterium. RNAcentral describes it as "partial 16S ribosomal RNA". It matches the Rfam family "Bacterial small subunit ribosomal RNA", at positions 125 to 354 of the family's 1533-position model. The record is from RNAcentral.
CCUUAGCCUUGGAGUGGGGAAUAACAGCUGGAAACAGCUGCUAAUACCGCAUAAUGCAGUUGGGUCGCAUGGCUCUGACUGCCAAAGAUUUAUCGCUCUGAGAUGGACUCGCGUCUGAUUAGCUAGUUGGCGGGGCAACGGCCCACCAAGGCGACGAUCAGUAGCCGGACUGAGAGGUUGGCCGGCCACAUUGGGACUGAGACACGGCCCAGACUCCUACGGGAGGCAGCAG